CCGCGGUAAUACGAAGGGGGCUAGCGUUGCUCGGAAUCACUGGGCGUAAAGGGCGCGUAGGCGGCGUUUUAAGUCGGGGGUGAAAGCCUGUGGCUCAACCACAGAAUGGCCUUCGAUACUGGGACGCUUGAGUAUGGUAGAGGUUGGUGGAACUGCGAGUGUAGAGGUGAAAUUCGUAGAUAUUCGCAAGAACACCGGUGGCGAAGGCGGCCAACUGGACCAUUACUGACGCUGAGGCGCGAAAGCGUGGGGAGCAAACAGGAUUA
RNAcentral lists this ribosomal RNA (266 nucleotides) under Methylobacterium longum. Its description in RNAcentral is "partial 16S ribosomal RNA". It matches the Rfam family "Bacterial small subunit ribosomal RNA", at positions 515 to 780 of the family's 1533-position model. The record is from RNAcentral. Lineage: Bacteria; Pseudomonadati; Pseudomonadota; Alphaproteobacteria; Hyphomicrobiales; Methylobacteriaceae.